UACAGAGGGGGCAAGCGUUAAUCGGAAUUACUGGGCGUAAAGCGUGCGCAGGCGGGCUGUUAAGCCAGACGUGAAAUCCCCGGGCUUAACCUGGGAAUGGCGUUUGGGACUGGAAGUCUGGAGUGCGGCAGAGGAGACUGGAAUUCCUGGUGUAGCAGUGAAAUGCGUAGAUAUCAGGAGGAACACCGAUGGCGAAGGCAGGUCUCUGGGCUGACACUGACGCUCAUGCACGAAAGCGUGGGGAGCAAACAGG
RNAcentral lists this ribosomal RNA (253 nucleotides) under uncultured bacterium. Its description in RNAcentral is "partial 16S ribosomal RNA". It matches the Rfam family "Bacterial small subunit ribosomal RNA", at positions 524 to 776 of the family's 1533-position model. The record is from RNAcentral.